This 72-nucleotide transfer RNA is filed under the name Desulfosarcina cetonica. RNAcentral's name for it is "tRNA-Ser". Lineage: Bacteria; Pseudomonadati; Thermodesulfobacteriota; Desulfobacteria; Desulfobacterales; Desulfosarcinaceae. The record is from RNAcentral.
AUGCCUAUCAAUGCCGUUUUAACCGGACUACGAAUCCGUAGGUCGCAGGUUCGAAUCCUGCCGGGCGCGCCA